This 393-nucleotide long non-coding RNA is filed under the name Manihot esculenta (cassava). Its description in RNAcentral is "long non-coding RNA (MESC_LNC002564)". Lineage: Eukaryota; Viridiplantae; Streptophyta; Magnoliopsida; Malpighiales; Euphorbiaceae. The record is from RNAcentral.
CCGCUGAGAUUCAUUCAUCCUAUCAUCUAGGAGAGAAUAGGGCUUACGAAACAGCAACUGAAAGAGUUUACUUCCUGAGCUCACUGCCUCACACUACUAUAAGCAGUGCUUUCUUCUUUGCUAAAUAGAAUGUCAAACUUGAAAAAAAAAACAUACGAUAGAGAUUUUCCUUCCUUUUGGAUAGUUGCUUUAUUCUUUCGAUUCUGGGCAUGUUCGACUAGGGAAAUCAUCUGGUCAUGUUAGCUCUACAGCGGAUUGGUACAAUUGAUAGUGUUUCAAAGCCUAUUACGACAUAUGCAAGCCAUAGAAAAGAGAGUUAAAGAGAGUCUCCUUUAGGGAUGCUUAUCCUUGAACUAACUCUCCUGCCCAAUCCAUUAAAAGCUCUAUGAUCUU